CAUACUCAUUUUCCUGGCACUAUAUUGGCCUGAGGGUGCCCACACCCUCAGGGACCCCCUCCCGCCAGGCUCUGGGGAAAGGAAAGGGUUAAAUCAUACCUUUUUUACAGCGCCAGGCGGGGAGCUCUCCUCCUCCUCCGAUCCUCCUCUUCGGCUGAAUGCGCAUGCGCGGCAGGAGCUGCGCGCGCAUUCAGCCAGUCUCAUAGGAAAGCAUUCAUAAUGCUUUCAUAUGGACGCUGGCGUCUUCUCACUGUGAUUUUCACAGUGAGAAGCAAACAAACGCCUCUAGCGGCUGUCAAUGAGACAGCCACUAGAGGCUUUAGAGGCUGGAUUAACCCUAAUAUAAACAUAGCAGUUUCUAGGAAACUAUGUUUAUAAAAAAAAAGGGUUAAUCCUAGAGGGACC
This is a non-coding RNA of Pelobates cultripes (western spadefoot toad), 405 nucleotides long. The record is from the annotation of a GenBank genome assembly. NCBI's taxonomy places the organism in Eukaryota, Metazoa, Chordata, Amphibia, Anura, Pelobatidae.